This 113-nucleotide non-coding RNA is filed under the name unclassified sequences. The record is from Rfam.
UGAUGGUGCAGGCAGAGAUGCACUGUAUGCCCGUGUAACCGAAUUGACGUUUAAGCGAUAUGUAAUAUCGUCGGCCACGGGGAAGCCGCCUUCGGGCGGCUUUUUUUGCAUGA